This 253-nucleotide ribosomal RNA is filed under the name uncultured bacterium. Its description in RNAcentral is "partial 16S ribosomal RNA". It matches the Rfam family "Bacterial small subunit ribosomal RNA", at positions 524 to 776 of the family's 1533-position model. The record is from RNAcentral.
UACAGAGGUGCCAAGCGUUAGUCGGAAUCACUGGGCUUAAAGCGUGUGUAGGCGGACUUCUAAGUACCUUGUGAAAUCCCUCGGCUUAACCGGGGAACUGCGUCUGAUACUGGAUGGCUAGAGGUUGGGAGAGGGAUGCGGAAUUCCAGGUGUAGCGGUGAAAUGCGUAGAUAUCAGGAGGAACACCGGUGGCGAAGGCGGAUCUCUGGGCCUGUUCUGACGCUGAGGCGCGAAAGCUAGGGGAGCGAACAGG